GGGGCGGGGCGCGCUACCCGCAGCCCCUGGAGCUCGGCUAACUCGGCGCCCAGUGCACGGCCGCACCAUGGGGUCCCGCCACUUCGAGGGGAUUUAUGACCACGUGGGGCACUUCGGCAGAUUCCAGAGAGUCCUCUAUUUCAUAUGUGCCUUCCAGAACAUCUCUUGUGGUAUUCACUACUUGGCUUCUGUGUUCAUGGGAGUCACCCCUCAUCAUGUCUGCAGGCCCCCAGGCAAUGUGAGUCAGGUCGUUUUCCACAAUCACUCUAAUUGGAGUUUGGAGGACACCGGGGCCCUGUUGUCUUCAGGCCAGAAAGAUUAUGUUACGGUGCAGUUGCAGAAUGGUGAGAUCUGGGAGCUCUCAAGGUGUAGCAGGAACAAGAGGGAGAACACAUCGAGUUUGGGCUAUGAAUACACUGGCAGUAAGAAAGAGUUUCCUUGUGUGGAUGGCUACAUAUAUGACCAGAACACAUGGAAAAGCACUGCGGUGACCCAGUGGAACCUGGUCUGUGACCGAAAAUGGCUUGCAAUGCUGAUCCAGCCCCUAUUUAUGUUUGGAGUCCUACUGGGAUCGGUGACUUUUGGCUACUUUUCUGACAGGUAAAAUCAAAUAUUUAGGAUUGUUGUAUCAGUGUAGGGUUUAUUUUCCUAUCUGGUUUUCUUGGGACACAAGGAAUUAUGUUUAAAACUUGUCAUUUUUAUACUUCCUAUCUAAAUACCUACCUCUUUGCUGAUCCAUUAUUUAGGGAUGUAUAAUGAUAAGGAUAGGCUCUGAAGACAGUAUACCUGGAUCCAAAUCCUGGUUCUACCACUUAUUGACUGUGGACCCCAGGCAAAUUGCCUAACUUACCUGUGUUUCAGAAUCUUUGUCUAUAGGCUGGUGAUAAAAAAUAAGAUCACUUACUUCAAAGGAUUAUUGCAAAAUUAAUACAGAAAAAAAGUACCCUGGACAUAUAAUCACUCAAUAGAUACGGUUUAUUACUUUGAAUAUUUUCUUCUCUUUAAAUAGACUUGCUUUUUAAUAGGAGUAGCCUGAUCCUAAGCAGUAUAUCUGUAAAAUUAUGGGCUUGAUAUAACAGCCCCUUUUAGUCUUUUUGUGCUGCUGUAACAAAAUACCACAGACUGGGUAAUUAACAAGCAAUAGAAAUUUAUUUCCCAUAGUUCUGGCGGCUGGGAAGCCCAAGAUAAGGUGCCAGCAGGAUUGCUGACUGGGAAGGCUGUUGUUUGCUUUCAAGAUGGUGCCUUAUUGCUGCAUCCUUUGGAUGGGAUAAAUGCAGUGUCCUCACAUGGAAGAAGGGAUGGAAGGGCAGGAGAGUGCUCCCUUCAACCUUGAGCCCUUUUCUAAGGGUGCUAAGGGCUCUGCUGUCAUGACUUUAUCACCUCCCAAGGCCAUCCCUCUUAAUACUGUUGCACUGGAGAUUAAGUUUCAACAUGAAUUUUGGAUGGAAUACUAUCAUUCAAAGCAUAACCUGGCCAUAUAUUUUUAAAAAUUUACAUUAAAAUGAAUAUGUAAUUCUUAAAAUAAAGCAAAGUUUAUCUCUGUAUGAACAUGGACCAUACCAAAGCACAGAGAUGAACUUAUUUGGUCUCCAUAGUUGUGGAUUUUACAGGCAUAUGGUGGGCACUGAGGACCUAAAGACAAUAGCUUAGAUCAGAAAUCCCUGCCCUUGAGGUAUACCAGUUUAAUGGGGCUGAUAAACAUGUCAAAA
Molecule: small RNA, 1709 nt
Filed under: Pan troglodytes (chimpanzee)
Lineage: Eukaryota; Metazoa; Chordata; Mammalia; Primates; Hominidae
Description: processed transcript
Source: RNAcentral